Non-coding RNA from Aegilops tauschii subsp. strangulata, 1003 nucleotides. Lineage: Eukaryota; Viridiplantae; Streptophyta; Magnoliopsida; Poales; Poaceae. The record is from RefSeq and is a predicted model, not a curated record.
CCCCCCCCCCCCCGCCGCUGCCGCCAUCUACCACCACCAUCCUCGCCGCUCCCUCCCCUCGCCCAGCCAUAUCUAGACGCCUAACCGGGAGAGGAGGAGGGGGGUUGACAAGGAGAGAGCAGUCAGCAGGCGGCGGCGGCGGCUCCGAGUACAGGUAGGCGACAGCGGCGACUGGGUAGCAGCGAGCGGCCGAUUCAUCUCGCCUUCAUCUCCUCGCUAGCUCCAUGUCCUUCGCAGGUUCUAAGAUAUGGCCUCUACUCCUCGACAGCCACACCGAGCGGCCCAUCCAAGAAACCAGCCCUGCCGCUCUGCUGCUCCCAACCACCCUGAGUCUCAACCUCGCCGCCUAUUCUGGUCGAUGCUGUGAUUGAUAAUAACCAGGAAGAUUUCACCGCUCAGUUCAUCCAUUUGAAUCCUUCUGCUGUAAUUCUGUUCCCUACCCUUUCUUACUUGCAGGAAAUUCAAGUGUGGUACACAUACGAUCACGGUGGAGGAGAGAUCGACGGUCGACGUGAAGCCGGGGCGGAAGAAGGGCACGAAUAUCACCUUCCUAGAAGGAAUGAUCUGAUUUUUCUGUCUUAUGUGCAGCGUAAACUAUGUUUACCAAUCAUUCUGUCCAGGAGCAUCCAGACAGGGAGGUGCUUCACACCCUGCGUCUAGGCAUCUACUGCAAUGCCAACCACAUGGCUAAGAUGGCCGUUGCCAUCACCGAGUUCCGCGCUCUCUGCUACUUCAUUGAAUCCAGCUUUGUGGACACUAUUUACCAGUUGGGAGAGAAACAUAAUUGAUGUGUAUGGAAUUUCAGAAACUGCCAAUUGUUAUUGUAGCUUUCAUGCCUACCAGACGAAAUCAAAGGCAGGUGCUUUGUUUCUCAAGUGAAGUAAAUCAAAGUGUUAUAGUGGAAGAAUUAUCCUAACAUAAGAGCCUUAUUUGUUUCAUAAAAAAUAUGUACAGUUGGUUCAGACAACGCUUAAUUUGAUGUUGUUAGUUCGAUUUGAGUUUC